This 1912-nucleotide unclassified non-coding RNA is filed under the name Hevea brasiliensis (rubber tree). The record is from RNAcentral. Lineage: Eukaryota; Viridiplantae; Streptophyta; Magnoliopsida; Malpighiales; Euphorbiaceae.
GAAUUAUUGAACUAAAAAAAAGGGAAAAAAUUAUGAUCUUCCUUCACAUUUGGCUGUACCAAAAGAAGAUAGGGGCAAGAAAAAUACAACAAAAAAGAGAAAAAAAAAUAAUUUCAAAUCUUCAACGUGUGGUUUUGCUUGUUCUAUGUGUUUAUCACAAGGAUGUAUCAAACUUUACACUGGUGGCCGGCAACCAAUCCUCGCCGUUGAGGAAGGUCCUGACAGUGAACUUUCCGGCCUCGGCGUCCGUAAGACUGGGCCUGUAACCGGCCCAUCUAACCCUCUUGUCCACGCUGGAUCCAGGCCCAGUAUUCUGAUACUCCCCAUAAAAUAUGCUGCUGGGUGGGUCCUGCCCGCUGACCCAUUCCUUCCACCCCACGGGCUGCAGGAAUGCUCCGAUGUCCGACUGCAUAAUCACCGUGGUGGAAAACUCCUUCCAUGGCCGACCCAGGUAAGUGGGGGCGGUUAGACUGUCGUUGUAGGCCGAAAAAGUGCAUUUCUGAAUGGAAAUGCCGGAGUUUUGGUUGAUGUCCUUUUUGCCUUGGGCUGUGAUGGUGUUAAACUGGUUGGGAAGUGGCUGCCUCGGCCGGAUGUUGCAGUUCUGGAACACCACGGCGGCGUUGCCGAACAUGAAGUCGAUGGUGCCAGUGAUGUCGCAGUCUCGGUAGAAUUGACGGUUUGAGUGGGCGUAGAGUGUGUCUUGAUAGCCAUCAAAUGAACAUCCGGACAUCACAGAAAGGUCGGAGCCUGACCGGAAGGCAACAGCCUGGUGCUUGGCUGGACCGGCCGUGUUGAUGAACCCCAUGUCCUUCCCAAUGAACCCUUUGCCAGCAACAGCAAAAGUGGCGGUGGAGAAGGUGGGAGUGCCGUCGAUGAAGUUCAGGUGGCCCGAAACAAUGGUUUUGGUUCUGCCAUCUCCAUACAUCAUAACGUUCCACUUGUUCUUGUCCAGAAUCACAUUCUCUUCGUAUAUUCCUUCUUUUACAUGUAUGAUGAAUCUUUCUUUGCUCUUCUUUGGCACCGCCGCUACGGCAUCUUUGAUCGUUGUGUAGUGCCCUUUCCCAUCCUUCGACACCGUCAUAUGCGCCGUCACAUUGUUCUCCUGCAGAAGCCUUCGAUCGCCGGAGCUUAACCACUCCGGGAGUCCCAUCAGCUUCCGGUGGAUAGGGAUGUUGAAAUCAGCCAACAGUCCAAGGAUUUUCGUUACAAUCGCUAAACUAUUGCUAGUAAACUCAGUAGAGUUCGCCAUUGCCGUUUGCAAGUUUUGGAGAAGCGUCGUCUGGUUUAGAUCUCGAACUGCGUCGAGGCAGGUUUCUUGAUCUGUGAUUGUAGUGCUCAGCCAGGUUUUCAGAUCUUCAAUCCUAGACGGCGACAAGAACUUCUCACUAUGGUGAUCCACUUCCAUGGAUGAAACGGUGUCGUUUAGCGUGUCAAUGGCAUCUUCAAAAACACUCCGGCAGAUUUCAAUGGCGGCUUUAACCUUCGGAUCUCCAGUAUUGGAAUUGAGAGUAGAGGUAUAAUCGGAAAGUUUCGAGAGGGAAUCGGUGGCAACUCGGAGAGAAAGCUUGAAGAGAAAUACCGGAUCGGUAGUGUUGGAGUUUUGGAGAGAGGACUGACAGGAACUGGGAUACUGAGUAACACUACAGAGAGUUUUGAGUGAGGCAGCGGGAGUGAGCUCGGUGGGAGGAGCUGAGCUGGUGGGCGAUGAAGAAGAAGAGUUUCGUUUAUGAAUGACAAUUCCGACGACGGCGCCGAUGACGAGAGCAAUUAGAAGAAGAAUGGAAAGAAGGAGUAUGAUUAGCCGGCGACGAGUCUUUUGGCGGAAAGCUUGCUGUUCGAGCUCGUCGACCUUGCCGUAGCCCUUGAAGGACUUGACGGUAUCCAUGGAUUUCAGAGUUGGGGUUCCGUUCUA